Molecule: ribosomal RNA, 326 nt
Filed under: uncultured Chloroflexota bacterium
Lineage: Bacteria; Bacillati; Chloroflexota
Description: bacterial SSU rRNA
Rfam family: Bacterial small subunit ribosomal RNA
Source: RNAcentral
GAUGAACGCUGGCGGCGUGCCUAAUCCAUGCAAGUCGAACGGAGUAUCAGCAAUGGUGCUUAGUGGCGAACGGGUGAGUAACGCGUUGGUGACCUGCCCCGAAGCGGGGGAUAACAGAUCGAAAGGUCUGCUAAUACCGCGUAAUCUGUGAGUAGUUAGAGAGCUUACAGGAAAGCCGAAAGGCGCUUUGGGAGGGGCCUGCGUCCCAUCAGCUAGUUGGUAAGGUAACGGCUUACCAAGGCGAUGACGGGUAGGGGACCUGAGAGGGUGGCCCCCCACCAAUAGGACGUAGAACAACGGUCCGACUACACCUACCGGGAGGGCUG